RNAcentral lists this transfer RNA (66 nucleotides) under Helobdella europaea. Its description in RNAcentral is "tRNA-Tyr". The record is from RNAcentral. Lineage: Eukaryota; Metazoa; Annelida; Clitellata; Rhynchobdellida; Glossiphoniidae.
AACAAGAUGGUUGAAAUAUAAACAGUAAACUGUAAAUUUACCUAUGAGGAUAAACCUCUCUUGUAU